UAGAAAAAGAAUGCAUUGUUUUGAUACCUCACCAGGUGGCGUUUCAAAUAUAAACACUACUGUAUGUGGAGUUGAAAGACUACGAAGGAGACUUUACAAUUAGGCCUAAUACCGUAACAAAUGUCAUGACAGAUUACAUCUUUAAAUUUGGCCCCAUUGGAAAUGCACUGGACUCUGGCCUAAUGGUACUGCUGACUGGAAAAGAUAUUGUCAUACAGAUAUUUAAUUCUCAUGACAGACAGUACAUCAUUAAAUUUGGCCCCAAAUGGAAAUGGACUGGAAUCUGGCCUAAUAGUACUGCUGACUGGAAAAGAUAUUGUCAUACAGAUAUUUAAUUGUAAGUUA
Anneissia japonica is the source of this 345-nucleotide long non-coding RNA. RefSeq lists it as uncharacterized. Lineage: Eukaryota; Metazoa; Echinodermata; Crinoidea; Comatulida; Comatulidae. The record is from RefSeq and is a predicted model, not a curated record. The transcript has 3 exons.